Molecule: ribosomal RNA, 466 nt
Filed under: uncultured bacterium
Lineage: Bacteria
Description: partial 16S ribosomal RNA
Rfam family: Bacterial small subunit ribosomal RNA
Source: RNAcentral
GAUGAACGCUGGCGGCGUGCUUAACACAUGCAAGUCGAACGAUGAAGCCCAGCUUGCUGGGUGGAUUAGUGGCGAACGGGUGAGUAACACGUGAGUAACCUGCCCUUGACUCUGGGAUAAGCCUGGGAAACUGGGUCUAAUACUGGAUAUGACUUCUCAUCGCAUGGUGGGGGGUGGACAGAUUUAUUGGUCUUGGAUGGACUCGCGGCCUAUCAGCUUGUUGGUGAGGUAAUGGCUCACCAAGGCGACGACGGGUAGCCGGCCUGAGAGGGUGACCGGCCACACUGGGACUGAGACACGGCCCAGACGCCUACGGGAGGCAGCAGUGGGGAGUAUUGCACAAUGGGCGCAAGCCUGAUGCAGCGACGCCGCGUGAGGGAUGACGGCCUUCGGGUUGUAAACCUCGUUCAGUAGGGAAGAAGCGAGAGUGACGGUACCUGCAGAAGAAGCGCCGGCUAACUACGUG